CCUACGGGAGGCAGCAGUCGGGAAUAUUGGGCAAUGGGCGCAAGCCUGACCCAGCGACGCCGCGUGAGGGAUGAAGGCCUUCGGGUCGUAAACCUCUGUCGGGAGGGAAGAAUGGCGGUGAGGCGAAUAGUCUCGCUGUCUGACGGUACCUCCAAAGGAAGCGCCGGCUAACUCCGUGCCAGCAGCCGCGGUAAUACGGAGGGCGCAAGCGUUGUUCGGAAUCACUGGGCGUAAAGCGCGUGUAGGCGGCGAAAGCCCGAGGCUCAACCUCGGAACUGCAUUCGAAACUGCUCGGCUCGAGUCCCGGAGAGGAUGGCGGAAUUCCCGGUGUAGGGGUGAAAUCCGUAGAUAUCGGGAGGAACACCAGUGGCGAAGGCGGCCAUCUGGACGGUGACUGACGCUGAGACGCGAAAGCGUGGGGAGCAAACAGGAUUAGAUACCCUGGUAGUC
This 450-nucleotide ribosomal RNA is filed under the name uncultured bacterium. RNAcentral's name for it is "partial 16S ribosomal RNA". It matches the Rfam family "Bacterial small subunit ribosomal RNA", at positions 338 to 795 of the family's 1533-position model. The record is from RNAcentral.